UGAGGAAUAUUGCGCAAUGGGGGCAACCCUGACGCAGCAACGCCGCGUGAGUGAGGAAGGUUUUCGGACCGUAAAGCUCUGUCGAGCGGGAAGAAAUGCAUGGUGGCUAAUAUCCAUCAUGCUUGACGGUACCGCUAAAGGAAGCACCGGCUAACUCCGUGCCAGCAGCCGCGGUAAUACGGGGGGUGCGAGCGUUGUUCGGAAUUAUUGGGCGUAAAGAUCGUGUAGGCGGCCGAAUAAGUCAGAUGUGAAAUCCCUGGGCUUAACCAAGGACGUGCAUUUGAAACGAUUCGGCUGGAGUAGGGGAGAGGAAAGUGGAAUUCCGGGUGUAGAGGUGAAAUUCGUAGAUAUCAGGAGGAACACCGGUGGCGAAGGCGACUUUCUGGCCCUAUACUGACGCUGAGACGCGAGAGCGUGGGUAGCAAACAG
Molecule: ribosomal RNA, 429 nt
Filed under: uncultured bacterium
Lineage: Bacteria
Description: bacterial SSU rRNA
Rfam family: Bacterial small subunit ribosomal RNA
Source: RNAcentral